ACUAUCGUUAACUGAAUACAUAGGUUAACGAGGCGAACCGGGGGAACUGAAACAUCUAAGUACCCCGAGGAAAAGAAAUCAACCGAGAUUCCCCCAGUAGCGGCGAGCGAACGGGGAGCAGCCCAGAGUCUGAAUCAGCUUGUGUGUUAGUGGAACGGUCUGGAAAGUCCGACGGUACAGGGUGAUAGUCCCGUACACCAAAAUGCACAGGCUGUGAACUCGAAGAGUAGGGCGGGACACGUGGUAUCCUGUCUGAAUAUGGGGGGACCAUCCUCCAAGGCUAAAUACUCCUGACUGACCGAUAGUGAACCAGUACCGUGAGGGAAAGGCGAAAAGAACCCCGGCGAGGGGAGUGAAAAAGAACCUGAAACCGUGUACGUACAAGCAGUGGGAGCACCUUCGGGUGUGACUGCGUACCUUUUGUAUAAUGGGUCAGCGACUUAUAUUCUGUAGCAAGGUUAACCGUAUAGGGGAGCCGCAGGGAAACCGAGUCUUAACUGGGCGUUAAGUUGCAGGGUAUAGACCCGAAACCCGGUGAUCUAGCCAUGGGCAGGUUGAAGGUUGGGUAACACUAACUGGAGGACCGAACCGACUAAUGUUGAAAAAUUAGCGGAUGACUUGUGGCUGGGGGUGAAAGGCCAAUCAAACCGGGAGAUAGCUGGUUCUCCCCGAAAGCUAUUUAGGUAGCGCCUCGUGAAUUCAUCUUCGGGGGUAGAGCACUGUUUCGGCUAGGGGGUCAUCCCGACUUACCAACCCGAUGCAAACUACGAAUACCGAAGAAUGUUAUCACGGGAGACACACGGCGGGUGCUAACGUCCGUCGUGAAGAGGGAAACAACCCAGACCGCCAGCUAAGGUCCCAAAGUCAUGGUUAAGUGGGAAACGAUGUGGGAAGGCACAGACAGCCAGGAUGUUGGCUUAGAAGCAGCCAUCAUUUAAAGAAAGCGUAAUAGCUCACUGGUCGAGUCGGCCUGCGCGGAAGAUGUAACGGGGCUAAACCAUGCACCGAAGCUGCGGCAGCGACACUAUGUGUUGUUGGGUAGGGGAGCGUUCUGUAAGCCUGCGAAGGUGUGCUGUGAGGCAUGCUGGAGGUAUCAGAAGUGCGAAUGCUGACAUAAGUAACGAUAAAGCGGGUGAAAAGCCCGCUCGCCGGAAGACCAAGGGUUCCUGUCCAACGUUAAUCGGGGCAGGGUGAGUCGACCCCUAAGGCGAGGCCGAAAGGCGUAGUCGAUGGGAAACAGGUUAAUAUUCCUGUACUUGGUGUUACUGCGAAGGGGGGACGGAGAAGGCUAUGUUAGCCGGGCGACGGUUGUCCCGGUUUAAGCAUGUAGGCUGGUUGUCCAGGCAAAUCCGGAUAAUCAAGGCUGAGGUGUGAUGACGAGGCACUACGGUGCUGAAGUAACAAAUGCCCUGCUUCCAGGAAAAGCCUCUAAGCAUCAGGUAACAUCAAAUCGUACCCCAAACCGACACAGGUGGUCAGGUAGAGAAUACCAAGGCGCUUGAGAGAACUCGGGUGAAGGAACUAGGCAAAAUGGUGCCGUAACUUCGGGAGAAGGCACGCUGGUGUGUAGGUGAAGUCCCUGCGGAUGGAGCUGAGACCAGUCGAAGAUACCAGCUGGCUGCAACUGUUUAUUAAAAACACAGCACUGUGCAAACACGAAAGUGGACGUAUACGGUGUGACGCCUGCCCGGUGCCGGAAGGUUAAUUGAUGGGGUUAUCCGUAAGGAGAAGCUCUUGAUCGAAGCCCCGGUAAACGGCGGCCGUAACUAUAACGGUCCUAAGGUAGCGAAAUUCCUUGUCGGGUAAGUUCCGACCUGCACGAAUGGCGUAAUGAUGGCCAGGCUGUCUCCACCCGAGACUCAGUGAAAUUGAACUCGCUGUGAAGAUGCAGUGUACCCGCGGCAAGACGGAAAGACCCCGUGAACCUUUACUAUAGCUUGACACUGAACAUUGAGCCUUGAUGUGUAGGAUAGGUGGGAGGCUUUGAAGCGUGGACGCCAGUCUGCGUGGAGCCAACCUUGAAAUACCACCCUUUAAUGUUUGAUGUUCUAACGUUGGCCCCUUACCGGGGUUGCGGACAGUGUCUGGUGGGUAGUUUGACUGGGGCGGUCUCCUCCCAAAGCGUAACGGAGGAGCACGAAGGUUAGCUAAUCCUGGUCGGACAUCAGGAGGUUAGUGCAAUGGCAUAAGCUAGCUUGACUGCGAGCGUGACGGCGCGAGCAGGUGCGAAAGCAGGUCAUAGUGAUCCGGUGGUUCUGAAUGGAAGGGCCAUCGCUCAACGGAUAAAAGGUACUCCGGGGAUAACAGGCUGAUACCGCCCAAGAGUUCAUAUCGACGGCGGUGUUUGGCACCUCGAUGUCGGCUCAUCACAUCCUGGGGCUGAAGUAGGUCCCAAGGGUAUGGCUGUUCGCCAUUUAAAGUGGUACGCGAGCUGGGUUUAGAACGUCGUGAGACAGUUCGGUCCCUAUCUGCCGUGGGCGCUGGAGAAUUGAGGGGGGCUGCUCCUAGUACGAGAGGACCGGAGUGGACGCAUCACUGGUGUUCGGGUUGUCAUGCCAAUGGCACUGCCCGGUAGCUAAAUGCGGAAGAGAUAAGUGCUGAAAGCAUCUAAGCACGAAACUUGCCCCGAGAUGAGUUCUCCCUGAGACUUUAAGUCUCCUGAAGGAACGUUGAAGACGACGACGUUGAUAGGCCGGGUGUGUAAGCGCAGCGAUGCGUUGAGCUAACCGGUACUAAUGAACCGUGAGGCUUAACC
This 2755-nucleotide ribosomal RNA is filed under the name Klebsiella pneumoniae. RNAcentral describes it as "bacterial LSU rRNA". It matches the Rfam family "Bacterial large subunit ribosomal RNA". Lineage: Bacteria; Pseudomonadati; Pseudomonadota; Gammaproteobacteria; Enterobacterales; Enterobacteriaceae. The record is from RNAcentral.